UAAUACGUAGGGAGCAAGCGUUGUCCGGAUUUAUUGGGUGUAAAGGGUGCGUAGGCGGCUACAUAAGUCAGGCGUGUAAUUCAGAGGCUUAACCUCUGAACUGCGCUUGAAACUGUGUGGCUUGAGUGGAGUAGAGGCAGAUGGAAUUUCCAGUGUAGCGGUGAAAUGCGUAGAUAUUGGAAGGAACACCAGUGGCGAAGGCGAUCUGCUGGGCUCUAACUGACGCUGAGGCACGAAAGCAUGGGGAGCAAACAGGAUUAGAUACCCUGGUAGUCCAUGCCGUAAACGAUGAUUACUAGGUGUGGGGGGACUGACCCCUUCCGUGCCGGAGUUAACACAAUAAGUAAUCCACCUGGGAAGUACGAUCGCAAGGUUGAAACUCAAAUGAAUUGACGG
Molecule: ribosomal RNA, 396 nt
Filed under: bacterium enrichment culture
Lineage: Bacteria
Description: bacterial SSU rRNA
Rfam family: Bacterial small subunit ribosomal RNA
Source: RNAcentral